CCCUCGGGUGAACUGUGGUUAAGGAACUCGGCAAAUUGCCCCCGUAACUUCGGGAGAAGGGGGACCUCUGUUGGUGAUGGGCUUUACGCCUGGAGCUGGUGGGGGUCGCAGUGGCCAGGGGGAAGCGACUGUUUACUAAAAACACAGGUCCGUGCGAAGUCGUAAGACGAUGUAUACGGACUGACGCCUGCCCGGUGCCGGAACGUUAAGGGGACCGCUUAGCCGACGUGAGUUGGCGAAGGUGAGAACUUAAGCGCCGGUAAACGGCGGUGGUAACUAUAACCAUCCUAAGGUAUCGAAAUUCCUUGUCGGGUAAGUUCCGACCUGCACGAAUGGCGUAACGACUUCCCCGCUGUCUCAACCGCAGACCCGGCGAAAUUGCACUACGAGUAAAGAUGCUCGUUUCGCGCAGCAGGACGGAAAGACCCCGGGACCUUCACUACAGCUUGACAUUGGCGUUUGGAACGUCUUGUGUAGGAUAGGUGGGAGACUGGGAAGCUGUCACGCUAGUGAUGGUGGAGUCAUUGGUGAAAUACCACUCUGGUCGUUUUGAACGUCUAACUCUGGUCCGUGAUCCGGAUCGGGGACAGUGUCUGGUGGGUAGUUUAACUGGGGCGGUUGCCUCCUAAAGAGUAACGGAGGCGCCCAAAGGUUCCCUCAGCCUGGUUGGCAAUCAGGUGUUGAGUGUAAGUGCACAAGGGAGCUUGACUGUGAGACUGACAGGUCGAGCAGGAGCGAAAGCUGGGACUAGUGAUCCGGCAUCGGCGUGUGGAAGCGGUGUCGCUCAACGGCUAAAAGGUACCCCGGGGAUAACAGGCUGAUCUUCCCCAAGAGUCCAUAUCGACGGGAUGGUUUGGCACCUCGAUGUCGGCUCGUCGCAUCCUGGGGCUGGAGUAGGUCCCAAGGGUUGGGCUGUUCGCCCAUUAAAGCGGUACGCGAGCUGGGUUUAGAACGUCGCGAGACAGUUCGGUCCCUAUCCGCUGCGCGCGCAGGAGACUUGAAGGGGGCUGUCCCUAGUACGAGAGGACCGGGACGGACGAACCUCUGGUGUGCCAGUUGUACCGCCAGGUGCACGGCUGGUUGGCUACGUUCGGAAGGGAUAACCGCUGAAAGCAUCUAAGCGGGAAGCUCGCCUUGAGAUGAGGUCUCCCACCACGAGAGUGGGUAAGGCUCCCGGUAGACGACCGGGUUGAUAGGCCGGAGGUGGAAGCACGGUAACGUGUGGAGCUGACCGGUACUAAUAGGCCGAGGACUUGACCG
This 1260-nucleotide ribosomal RNA is filed under the name metagenome. Its description in RNAcentral is "bacterial LSU rRNA". It matches the Rfam family "Bacterial large subunit ribosomal RNA", at positions 1687 to 2925 of the family's 2925-position model. The record is from RNAcentral.